GUUGUAAGGUUAAGAAAUUAAGCGUACACGGUGGAUGCCUAGGCAAUCAGAGGCGAUGAAGGACGUGUUAAUCUGCGAAAAGCGACGGUGAGCCGAUAAAAGGCGCUAUAACCGUUGAUGUCCGAAUGGGGAAACCCAGUGCAGGUGACUGCACUAUCAUCUGAUGAAUACAUAGUCAGAUGAGGCGAACCGGGAGAACUGAAACAUCUAAGUACCCCGAGGAAAAGAAAUCAACCGAGAUUCCCAAAGUAGCGGCGAGCGAAAUGGGAGCAGCCCAAGCGGGUAGCAUAAUGUAUUAGUGGAAGCGUCUGGAAAGUCGCACGAUAGAGGGUGAAAGUCCCGUACAUGAAAGUAGAUUAUGUGGAAGCUUAUAGAGUAGGGCGGGACACGUGAUAUCCUGUCUGAAGAUGGGGGGACCAUCCUCCAAGGCUAAAUACUCCUGAUUGACCGAUAGUGAACCAGUACCGUGAGGGAAAGGCG
This 480-nucleotide ribosomal RNA is filed under the name Gilliamella apicola. RNAcentral's name for it is "bacterial LSU rRNA". It matches the Rfam family "Bacterial large subunit ribosomal RNA", at positions 1 to 516 of the family's 2925-position model. The record is from RNAcentral. RNAcentral also lists the same sequence under 1 other name. Lineage: Bacteria; Pseudomonadati; Pseudomonadota; Gammaproteobacteria; Orbales; Orbaceae.